GGCCCUAUCGUCUAAAGGUAGGAUAAGUGUUUUUCAGGCACAUGGUCAGGGUUCGAUUCCCUGUAGGGCUAC
This 72-nucleotide transfer RNA is filed under the name Arthrobacter phage Mimi. Its description in RNAcentral is "tRNA-Glu". It matches the Rfam family "tRNA". From Rfam's summary of the family: Transfer RNA (tRNA) molecules are approximately 80 nucleotides in length. RNAcentral also lists the same sequence under 5 other names. The record is from RNAcentral. Lineage: Duplodnaviria; Heunggongvirae; Uroviricota; Caudoviricetes.